This 338-nucleotide ribosomal RNA is filed under the name uncultured bacterium. RNAcentral's name for it is "bacterial SSU rRNA". It matches the Rfam family "Bacterial small subunit ribosomal RNA", at positions 172 to 507 of the family's 1533-position model. The record is from RNAcentral.
CAUAGUUAUUUCGAAUCGCAUUGGUUUGAUUAUUAAAGUCCAACGGUAAAAGAUGAGUAUGCGUCCCAUUAGCUAGAUGGUAAGGUAACGGCUUACCAUGGCAAUGAUGGGUAGGGGUCCUGAGAGGGAGAUCCCCCCACACUGGUACUGAGACACGGACCAGACUCCUACGGGAGGCAGCAGUGAGGAAUAUUGGACAAUGGGCGCAAGCCUGAUCCAGCCAUGCCGCGUGCAGGAAGACGGUCCUAUGGAUUGUAAACUGCUUUUAUACAGGAAGAAACACUCCCUCGUGAGGGAACUUGACGGUACUGUAUGAAUAAGCAUCGGCUAACUCCGUG